Molecule: long non-coding RNA, 758 nt
Filed under: Oryza brachyantha (malo sina)
Lineage: Eukaryota; Viridiplantae; Streptophyta; Magnoliopsida; Poales; Poaceae
Description: long non-coding RNA (OBRA_LNC003193)
Source: RNAcentral
GGAGGGAGCAGUUUGCACGCACGCAUUCAACCGGCCGGCCACUGCCUUCAUCGCAUUCAGUAUAUAUGUACGUGCAGCACUGAGAUUUGAACAUGGCCGUGCCACAGCCAUCUAAGCACGGUGCGCUUCACAAAUCACAACAGAGUUCGUCACCACGCUGAUCCACUCCACAUAGCCAAUAGCACAAGCACAAAUGUGCCAUCAUGUAUGACGAAACCUAGAAAUCGAUUACUGAUCUAAUUUGACUACCUAUAUGGAAAAGAACAUAACAGAAAAUUGUUGAGUAACGACAAUAAGUGAUUGAGUUCAGUAAUUCCUCGUACAAAAUUAUUGACUCUAUAGAUAUGAUAAUAUAGAGAAGACCAAAUUGUUUGAAGCACGGAGAACCGGAAGCGCCUCUUGUUUAAAAGAGAGGAGGAUGGGCUAUUCAUAUUUAAUUUGAUGGUCAGAGGCAAAUCGAAAUCUAAGCUGUGGUAAUUAAGGCCCCUCGGAGAAAAGAUGUACGUAUGUCUCCUACGUUAGAUAUGUAGAAGUAUCGAUGUAAUUUCAUAGAGUCAAUUCGAUCUGAAUGCUACAUGAAGAACAUAAGCCAGAUGACGGAACACCGAGACAUAGGAUGUAGAAGAGUGAUUCGGCAGAUUUCAAUACACUCCACAUAGCCAAGCACAAAUGAGCCAUCAUGCACGUGGAUAUAUAUUUCUGUACACACGUGCCGAUGCUUGCGAUCUCGAUUGAGUGCUUGGACGACCUGUACGUUG